AUAAACAGCCCGCCAGUGGACAGUUAAUGUUGAUGGUGCCGCUCUUCUCUUCUCUAACUAAAGAUCUGUCAGUCAAACCUUACAGUAAGUUGUCUUAUUCAAGAAACCCACAAAGUAACACAACUAGCACCUUAGACAGUCAUUUGCUUUGCUAGCUAAAACCACCUGAGGAAUGAAGAGGCAAUAUGGAUAUAGGUAAUUUUUUCAAAUCUAAACUUUCACAAGCGACAACACCUACUGAGCAAGAACCAAGGAUUGAAAAUGUGGACCAUGAAAAGCCAGAAAGCAACGCCAAAAUGGUGCUACGUAAACAAGUAACAUCGUAAACAUACAUGUUCCUCGCGAAUAUGGCGUAAAUUGAUGCUUAACUACACGGCGAAGACAUAAACAGGGAUAGAGCGGCGUGCAGUUGUUGUGUGCAGCUAACAUGGCAGAAUGUGUCUGAGAACUUUUCUACAUGUCAGUCCAUGAUCAAACGACCCUGCUCCCUGAGCCCUGCUCCUCCUCCUCCUUGUGUGUGUUGGUGUGUGUGUGUGUCUUGAUUGCAAGAUUCGACAGAUGGGUGAGACUGGGACCAAGUGCAGUCAGUCAUCAUUAACAACCUACUUAAGCCAGUCCCUGGCCUCACCUCAUCGCCAGAUCAACAACUCCACACCAAGAAUCCUGCAUUGCCUUCACAGCUCACCUGUUUAGACACCAACUGCUCGCCUGAGUAUUUGGACAAAGACUGCCUCCACAUACUGCAAUAAACAAUUGCCACCUUGCCUUCCUUCUCUGUGCUUGGAUCCCCUGCUCACCCAGGAACCUAACAAUAUGUGUUUGAACGAUUUGUUAGGAGCCUUGUUAAAAUAAAAAGUUAGAAUUUUAUACUGUAACAUUUAAGCUAGUGGACGUUUGCUAUGCAAGUCCGCUGCCAACAUUUUUGGACACAGCAAACAUACUGGUCUUUCCUUGUCUCCUACUGUAUCAAAAGGGAAACCAAACGCUACGUACGUGGUAUUUCCUCUUCUGAGCUUUCAAAGAGACUUCAUAUAUCCCGCUCUUUGCUGUGUGCUCUUGUUAGGUGCAAAAAUAUUGCGUGCACUGUGAAAAUGGAAGCACUACUGCCACCCACUGAGUGGAUGUGCAAUUACAUGUUAUUGUAGUAUGGCAAAAAAGUAUGUUCCCCAAUUGGUUUGGCCCCCCUGGGUAGGCGCGCCCCACUAUUUGAGAAGGACUGGCAUAAAAUAUUGCAGUUUUAUCCUUUGUUCCGUGAUGAUUGUCAGCUCAGAUGGACACUGCGCAAGCAAAUGCUAUAAGAAAUAGAUUGACGUAUGGAUGUGUUUGCCCAUUUUUGUGUGUGCACCAAAUUCUAACAUUUUUAUCAUAAGUGAAAUGUUGUCCAGCUGACAGAACCACUACAAAUUCUGCUUACCGUUUGCCUUUGUUUCCAAGAUUGUGGUUGCAGUGCCAAGCUAAGCUAACCGUUAUAAGGUCAUUUGACCACAGAAGUGCGACUGGCAUUGAUUUUGUACACUUGAGCACAUUUCUCCAAACAAAAAUAAUCUUUGAAUAUCUAAUGAUCCCCGGACGAACAACCGAGUUAUUCUCUGUGUUCCAGAAGUAACAACCAUUUUUUAAAAAAUCACUCACAUCGUGCUGCUGAUUAGUUAGGGAGACAUGAGGUCUGACCGCACAGUUCACAGAUCCUGGAGGUCCAUUGUAAUUUUUUCCCCGCUUAAUUGUAUAUGAUUUCUGACCUUAACGGUAAAUUGGCAAAAAGGAACUAAUAGCAAAUACAUAUUUUGCAGCAGCUAGGCCUUUUUUUCUGGCUUGAUUUUCUCAUUCAAUGUCAAACCUAUUUAUUUAUAUAUAUCAAGUGGAGGUAACAGUAGAGUAUAAUGGUAGAAUUUGCACCACUUACCAUAUUUUCUGGUCUGUGAGUCGCACUUUUUUCAUGGUUUGGCUGGGCCUGAGACUUGAACUCAGGUGCAACUUAUAUGUGUUUUUUUUUCACACUGACAGGCAAAAAAAGGGCGCCCUAGGGGUUCAAAGCAAAAUUUCCCUCAUCACCCCCUCUUCCUUAUUUAAACACAUGACAUAAAUUGACCAGUGCACUUUAUUUUUGCAUUUUCAAAAAAAUGUUAAAAGGGGACCAACAUGUACGUUGUUUUUAAAUAGCAAACAGUUAACCUGCUUAUUGCAUAUGGAACCCCAAAAGGGUCAGUGUUAGUUGCGAACUGGUUGGAUAGUAAUGAACGGCUUUUACC
Molecule: long non-coding RNA, 2249 nt
Organism: Corythoichthys intestinalis (scribbled pipefish)
Lineage: Eukaryota; Metazoa; Chordata; Actinopteri; Syngnathiformes; Syngnathidae
Exons: 4
Source: RefSeq, a predicted model, not a curated record